Molecule: ribosomal RNA, 471 nt
Filed under: uncultured bacterium
Lineage: Bacteria
Description: bacterial SSU rRNA
Rfam family: Bacterial small subunit ribosomal RNA
Source: RNAcentral
GAUGAACGCUGGCGGCGUGCUUAACACAUGCAAGUCGAACGAAGCACUUUACUUGAUCUCUUCGGAGUGAUUGUUUUGCGACUGAGUGGCGGACGGGUGAGUAACGCGUGGGUAACCUGCCUCACACAGGGGGAUAACAGUUGGAAACGGCUGCUAAUACCGCAUAAGCGCACAGUACCGCAUGGUACGGUGUGAAAAACUCCGAUGGUGUGAGAUGGACCCGCGUCUGAUUAGCUAGUUGGCAGGGCAACGGCCUACCAAGGCGACGAUCAGUAGCCGACCUGAGAGGGUGACCGGCCACAUUGGGACUGAGACACGGCCCAAAACUCCUACGGGAGGCAGCAGUGGGGAAUAUUGCACAAUGGGGGGAAACCCUGAUGCAGCGACGCCGCGUGAGCGAAGAAGUAUUUCGGUAUGUAAAGCUCUAUCAGCAGGGAAGAAGAAAUGACGGUACCUGACUAAGAAGCAACC